Molecule: transfer RNA, 71 nt
Filed under: Cordylochernes scorpioides
Lineage: Eukaryota; Metazoa; Arthropoda; Arachnida; Pseudoscorpiones; Chernetidae
Description: tRNA-Gly
Rfam family: tRNA
About the family: Transfer RNA (tRNA) molecules are approximately 80 nucleotides in length. Their secondary structure includes four short double-helical elements and three loops (D, anti-codon, and T loops). Further hydrogen bonds mediate the characteristic L-shaped molecular structure. tRNAs have two regions of fundamental functional importance: the anti-codon, which is responsible for specific mRNA codon recognition, and the 3' end, to which the tRNAs corresponding amino acid is attached (by aminoacyl-tRNA synthetases). tRNAs cope with the degeneracy of the genetic code in two manners: having more than one tRNA (with a specific anti-codon) for a particular amino acid; and 'wobble' base-pairing, i.e. permitting non-standard base-pairing at the 3rd anti-codon position.
Source: RNAcentral
CCAUCGGUUGGUUCAGUGGUAGAAUGCUCGCCUGCCACGCGGGCGGCCCGGGUUCGAUUCCCGCCGAUGCA